CCACUUUUGGGCCCUUGAUGUCAGCUUCUGGGCCCUUGAGGUCACCUUCCACUUUAGGAAGGGUAACAUCCACAUCGCCCUUCACUUUGGGUCCUUUCAGGUUUAAGUCAAUAUCAGGCAUGGAGAUCUUGGGGGCUUUGAUAUUCAUCUCUGGCAUCUUGAACUUAGGCCCUUUCAACUUUCCCUCUGGUCCUUCAAUGUUAACAUCAGGCAUGGAGAUCUUGGGGGCCUUGAUA
Molecule: long non-coding RNA, 236 nt
Filed under: Homo sapiens (human)
Lineage: Eukaryota; Metazoa; Chordata; Mammalia; Primates; Hominidae
Description: HSALNT0176061
Source: RNAcentral